UUAAAUUGAAGAGUUUGAUCAUGGCUCAGAUUGAACGCUGGCGGCAGGCCUAACACAUGCAAGUCGAACGGUAGCAGGAAGAAGCUUG
RNAcentral lists this ribosomal RNA (88 nucleotides) under Escherichia coli. Its description in RNAcentral is "partial 16S ribosomal RNA". It matches the Rfam family "Bacterial small subunit ribosomal RNA", at positions 1 to 87 of the family's 1533-position model. The record is from RNAcentral. Lineage: Bacteria; Pseudomonadati; Pseudomonadota; Gammaproteobacteria; Enterobacterales; Enterobacteriaceae.